RNAcentral lists this ribosomal RNA (770 nucleotides) under uncultured crenarchaeote. Its description in RNAcentral is "bacterial SSU rRNA". It matches the Rfam family "Archaeal small subunit ribosomal RNA", at positions 526 to 1295 of the family's 1478-position model. The record is from RNAcentral. Lineage: Archaea; Thermoproteati; Thermoproteota.
CGGCUCUGUAGGUCUCCUGUUNAAUCCAACGGCUUAACCGUUGGCAUGCGGGGGAUACCGCAAGGCUAGGAGGCGGGAGAGGCGAACGGUACUCCGAGGGUAGGGGUAAAAUCCUUUGAUCCCCGGAAGACCACCAGUGGCGAAGGCGGUUCGCCAGAACGCGCUCGACGGUGAGGGAUGAAAGCUGGGGGAGCGAACCGGAUUAGAUACCCGGGUAGUCCCAGCUGUAAACGAUGCAGACUCGAUGAUGCAAUGGCAUAGAGCUAUUGCAGUAUCGCAGGGAAGCCGUUAAGUCUGCCGCCUGGGAAGUACGUACGCAAGUAUGAAACUUAAAGGAAUUGGCGGGGGAGCACCACAAGGGGUGAAGCCUGCGGUUCAAUUGGAGUCAACGCCAGAAAUCUUACCCGGAGAGACAGCAGAAUGAAGGUCAGGCUGAAGACCUUACCAGACAAGCUGAGAGGUGGUGCAUGGCCGUCGUCAGCUCGUGCCGUGAGAUGUCCUGUUAAGUCAGGUAACGAGCGAGAUCCCUGCCACUAGUUGCUAUUAUUACUCUCAGGAGUAGUGGGGCGAAUUAGUGGGACCGCCACAGUUAAUGUGGAGGAAGGAAGGGGCCACGGCAGGUCAGUAUGCCCCGAAACUCUGGGGCCACACGCGGGCUGCAAUGGUAGUGACAAUAGGCUCCUAACUCGAAAGAGAGAGGCAAUCCAAAAACACUACCACAGUUAUGACUGAGGGNUGUAANUCGCCCUCACGAAUAUGGAAUCCCUAGU